ACCAUGGUUUUUACGCUCAUAUUUCUGCAGUAGAGAUAAACUCAAUUUCUUCUUCUCCUUCUUCAGUUUCAUUUUGGUUGUCUUUAACAUAUUUCUAUUGCAAAUUCUCUCUGAUAGUUUUUGUAAUGAUGCUUUAAGAGCAAGAGAGGCUUGAGUUUGCUGUGUAUUACUAGUGGUUGUGAGAGUAGAGUAAUAUUGUUGGGUGGAAGGGAAAUAAGUCACGGGAGGGUUUCGAGAUCUCAAUAAAAGAACCAAUUGUUAGAGAAGUAGAACUACUUUACUGAAAAUAAAAGAAACAAAGCAGUAAAACAGUAAAUAAUAAAGAAAGAAAAAUUAACUAAAGAAAAUAAAAUAACAUUUGGAUUCAUUUCAUUCCUUUAGAUGGUUUGUCAAAGACACUACAUAUAGGAUUGCUAUUGGAUAAUAAGAAGAUUGUCGUUGACACUUCUACUUUGGGCUGAAAAACACAAGUGAAAGACGAAAAUGUCUGUUGGCAAUUAACUGUCGCCGAUUAAAACACAUAAGUAAUAUUAUCAUGGCUCACGUUCUUUAUCAACUAAGUGGGAAAAGCAUGUGGAACUAUAGUCCCACAUAGCUCCAAUGUAGAUUCGCCCAUGCAGUGGAGCAAAUUAAGGUGGUUUCUUAGUAUGAAUAGGUUGAAAAUUCAUAUUUGUUUAUUCUAUGACUGGUGUUGGAAUCCAAUGGAUAGUUUAACUAGAUCAUUUUUUGAUAGGGGUUGUGUUUUGGGUGUGAUAGGCGAACCGUGUUUGGUUAGGGCUUGUUAUGGGUGUCACUUUUGUUUUGCGGAACUUAGGCUUUGUUUGUGAGUUUGGAGGGGAGAGGAAGGGAAGGCUUUGAGAGGUGGAAAAUAUGAGGGAAAAUUGAGAAAUAUGAUUUAAAUUUUUUAAACGAGUAGUUUUUUAGAGAAGGGUUUAGUAUUAUGAAGAAAAGUUAACCCCCAAAACUCUCCCCUCCCAUUUUUCUCUAUUUUUGCCACUGCUCAUUCCUUUUUUCCCUCCAGCUUGUUGAUAAUAAUAUAUGUUGAUUAAAAAAAACAGGAAUUGUUAGUAGUCUGCAAAUCAAAGAUCAAUACUAAAUGCAGAUACUUUAGUGUGAUAAUACCCUACCAUUAACCUUGAAUACAAAUUAAUCAGCUCUUACGUUCCGUAUAUUGCCAAUGAAUCUAAUAACUUUCUCAAAAAUAAAAUAGAAUAACAACUUAAACACAAAUACAGGAAUAUCCCAAAUCAGGACCCAUUUUGCAAAGUCUUGCUAACCUCAAAAUUUCCCUGUUAUAAUAAGAAACAAGUUUAUUUAUUUAUUUCUUAAUUAUAUCAUAAUAUUUGUACGAAGUUUUCACUGCAUGUUAGCAGUGAUUAAUCUCCGUCGAGGAACUUAUUAGACACACAAGAUAGAUUUUUCUUUCCAUCUAGAUUUUAUUCCAUACGCAUGAGCCAAAAAUUAUAUUGAACCCCUAAUCAGAUACUUAAGGGGUUUAAAUCUUUUACUACUUAAACCAAUUCAUUCCUGGUAACUAGUUUAAUUUAUAUUAAAUGAGAACUGAUAACAGAAUCAUUAAAAGAAGUGCGAAGAUAAAACAUGCAUUCCCAUCCAUAGUUAAUAUGGUUACACCAUAGUUAAUAGAAUUUGCCAUCUUAUAAAAUAAAUUGUAAAUACAUUUGUUUUAAAUCCUCUUAUAAAAAGAAAUUGUAAAUACAUUUGUUUUAAUUCAAAAAUCAUAUUUUAAAAUUUGAGGGUAUCAAAUACAAUUUCCACAUUGAUUAUGCUAUAAUUG
Molecule: long non-coding RNA, 1795 nt
Filed under: Medicago truncatula (barrel medic)
Lineage: Eukaryota; Viridiplantae; Streptophyta; Magnoliopsida; Fabales; Fabaceae
Description: long non-coding RNA (MTRU_LNC001897)
Source: RNAcentral